AGAAUCAACGCUGGCGGCGUGCCUAACACAUGCAAGUCGAACGAGAAAGUGGAGCAAUCCAUUAGUAAAGUGGCGCACGGGUGAGUAACACGUGACUAACCUACCCUUGAGUGGGGGAUAACCUAGGGAAACCUGGGCUAAUACCGCAUAAUACCUUCGGGUCAAAGGAGCAAUUCGCUUAAGGAGGGGGUCGCGGCCGAUUAGUUAGUUGGCGGGGUAAUGGCCCACCAAGACGAUGAUCGGUAUCCGGCCUGAGAGGGCGCACGGACACACUGGAACUGAAACACGGUCCAGACUCCUACGGGAGGCAGCAGUGGGGAAUUUUGCGCAAUGGGGGAAACCCUGACGCAGCAACGCCGCGUGGAGGAUGAAGCCCCUUGGGGCGUAAACUCCUUUCGAUCGGGACGAUUAUGACGGUACCGGAAGAAGAAGCCCGGCUAACUUCGCGCCAGCAGCCGC
RNAcentral lists this ribosomal RNA (459 nucleotides) under uncultured bacterium. Its description in RNAcentral is "SSU rRNA". It matches the Rfam family "Bacterial small subunit ribosomal RNA", at positions 26 to 518 of the family's 1533-position model. The record is from RNAcentral.